CUCGGCAGCUGCAACUCUCACAUGGUCACCCACUGAAGCUAAGCAGGGAUGCGCCAGGUCAGUACCUGGAUGGGAGACCAAAUGGGAAAGCUAGGUUGCUGCAGAAA
Molecule: ribosomal RNA, 107 nt
Filed under: Danio rerio (zebrafish)
Lineage: Eukaryota; Metazoa; Chordata; Actinopteri; Cypriniformes; Danionidae
Source: RNAcentral